This 1323-nucleotide long non-coding RNA is filed under the name Gallus gallus (chicken). Its description in RNAcentral is "lncRNA (ENSGALG00010007261.1)". The record is from RNAcentral. Lineage: Eukaryota; Metazoa; Chordata; Aves; Galliformes; Phasianidae.
CUCAUCUUUACAGGUGUGAUUUUCACAAUUGUGAAUGUUUUACUCAAUUAUUACAAGGCAUCAACUAUAGCAGCGUGUAAAUGCUUCCCGAUCUUUUCAUUAUGCUGGGAUGCCGCAACCUAUAUUUAACCCAAGGGGAGGAAUGUGCUCCAGAAACAAUUCUCACUUAGGCAAUCAUUUCUCUUAUCAGUCACAGAGAUCUGUCAGACCACUCUCACUGCCAACCAGGGAUUACAAAGAGAGGAAAAAGGGCAACCGGGAGAAAACUGUAUCUCUGCAAAAAUACAGUAUGGAUCUGUGUCAAGAAAUGAAGGACCCGUAGACAUGGAGUAAACCAGCUCUGUGAGAUUAUCAGGCCCAGCAAGGAAGGAGUCAGAGGAAUUACAGAAAGGACUCGAUAGUGGAAGCAAAUGAAACAGGAAUAAGUUACAGAUGCUGGGGAAGAGAGUUCUAGGAGAUGUCUAGCACAUCCAGCUAACUCAAAUGAGCUGCACCAUCUUACUCAGAGGCCUGUACUUUUCAGUAGCAGACCAGAUAUUCAGGCUUUUCAUUCCCUCCCUGGCUCUGCCCCUAGCUCUGACACAAAUCAAAUCUACAAAAGCACAUUGUCCUUACCUCAACUGUGUGCCAGCCUGGACAUGUUCAAAUGAAAACCUGGGCUACGCUGUGAUCUUUGCUCUUGCUACCACGAUACGUGCAGUGAAGAGGGAGAUUGCCUCAGAUACAUCUGGAAUACAGCAAUUCAAAGCAACCCCCUCUCAUCUUUGAUUUGAAUUUGCUGUGCUUUCCAUCAUCGCCAAAGGGGAGCUCCUACCUCUGACACACAGGUAUGCACUCUCCUUCACCCCAGCCCUCGCUGCAUUGCAUCAGCAAGAACGGCAACAGCCCACGGCCUCAGAGCUAUCAGAGCAAAGGACACAGGCUACAGACAGUAGCCUGGCUCUGGAAGAUGUUGUUCCCAAACGCCUGUGUGGUGCAAGUGCUUUUGUGUUCAGCCGUAUGCAGUCAUUAUUACAACUUGCUUUUAAUCCAGUAGAAGGGAGAGCGGCAGUCAGGCACUCUCUCCCUUCCUCAGAUAGGCGUCUGCUGCAUGAGUUGGCUGAGCGCUGCAGCCUGCCCAUCUGGAACAUGGAUAAACUCCCCCAGCGACUGGAGGAGUGACUUCGCCCUUUACUUGGCGCAGUCCUCAAUUAAGCAUGCAGAUAAGCCUGAGUCAAGGCUUUGGUAUGAGCGGCGCUGCCAGGAGCUGCGUGCUCGGAAUGGAGGUUACAGCCCGUGCCGAGGUGAAGCGCCCGCAGCCAGCUGUGCCCUGCCUGCCUCCCC